Molecule: ribosomal RNA, 120 nt
Filed under: Petromyzon marinus (sea lamprey)
Lineage: Eukaryota; Metazoa; Chordata; Hyperoartia; Petromyzontiformes; Petromyzontidae
Source: RNAcentral
GCCUCUGAACAAUAGGCCAUGAAUGUGUCCGAUCCCAUCAAAUUUCAGAAGCUAAGCAGAGCCCAGCUUGGAUAGUACUUGGGACUGGUGACCACGAGGGCUUGCCAGGUGUUGUAGGCA